RNAcentral lists this long non-coding RNA (231 nucleotides) under Phoenix dactylifera (date palm). RNAcentral's name for it is "long non-coding RNA (PDAC_LNC015562)". Lineage: Eukaryota; Viridiplantae; Streptophyta; Magnoliopsida; Arecales; Arecaceae. The record is from RNAcentral.
AAUGACAAAACACUUCAAAACUGCCUAUUUUUAACCUUUAAUACGAGUAGGUCUUUAAAACCUACUUCACAAAUAUUACAAUAACACUCACCUAGUACAACCUCCUUGGCAAGGCUUCUAAUUGAACUUGUAUUUGCUCUCUCUCUCAAUUCCUUGCAAGAAGCAGCCUUGGCACCUCCAGUAUUAGGCUCUUGCAGUGAUUUACCCACAGUCGUUCUACAAGUCCGGGGU